RNAcentral lists this ribosomal RNA (253 nucleotides) under uncultured bacterium. RNAcentral's name for it is "partial 16S ribosomal RNA". It matches the Rfam family "Bacterial small subunit ribosomal RNA", at positions 524 to 776 of the family's 1533-position model. The record is from RNAcentral.
CACGGAGGGUGCAAGCGUUAUCCGGAUUUACUGGGUUUAAAGGGUGUGUAGGCGGGUCUUUAAGUCAGUGGUGAAAUCUCCGAGCUCAACUUGGAAACUGCCAUUGAUACUAUUGAUCUUGAAUUCUGUUGAGGUGGGCGGAAUAAGUCAUGUAGCGGUGAAAUGCAUAGAUAUGACUUAGAACACCAAUUGCGAAGGCAGCUCACUAAACAGAUAUUGACGCUGAGGCACGAAAGCGUGGGGAUCAAACAGG